RNAcentral lists this long non-coding RNA (7204 nucleotides) under Salmo salar (Atlantic salmon). Its description in RNAcentral is "lncRNA (ENSSSAG00000085387.1)". Lineage: Eukaryota; Metazoa; Chordata; Actinopteri; Salmoniformes; Salmonidae. The record is from RNAcentral.
CCCAGUCAGUCUUUGGGCCACAUCCAGGUUCUUUAUCAGUGGCACACAUGAAGCAGUUGUUGGCUUUGUUGAACUCUGAAAACAUAGGCAUGAACUGAACAUAUGGCUGUCCCACACAACUACAUAAAAAUAAAGAAUUUACAUUUACUUUGAAUUAAAUGUGUAACGGCCGUCGAAGGGAGUAGACCAAGGCGCAGCGUGUUGAGUGCUCAUCAUAUAAUGUUAAUAGAACACUUUAAACAAAACCACAAACGACAGCCAAACAGUUCUGUCAGGAACAUCAACUAAACAGAAAGUAACCACCCACAAAACCCAAAGGAAAACAGGCUGCCUAAGUAUGGCUACCAAUCAGAGACAACGAUCUACAGCUGUCCCUGAUUGAGAACCAUACCCGGCCAAAACAAAGAAAUACAAAACAUAGAAAAAAGGACAUAGAAUGCCCACCCUAGUCACACCGUGGCCUAACCAAAAUAGAGAAUAAAACCCUCUCUAUGGCCAGGGCGUGACAAAAUGUCAUUACAUACCAGACAUUUUUAGUAUAUUCUCAGCCAUUUCUUUUCGCAGUUGCUCCAUGUGUUUUUGUGAAGGUUCUAUAUCAAUUUGGGAGGGGAUGUUGGGGAAGUUAUGUGCAUCUUCCUUGGCCAUCUACACCAAAAAAAUUGUGUAGGCGUUAAGCGCACGCAAAUGUGCAUGCAGGCGGUUCAACAUGUGCUAAAUAAACGGCUGCAAGCGGUCCUGCACACGUCAAGUUGAGGCCUACAGCUGCUAAAUAUACACCUACACACGGUAACUUAAUGCGUUCCUUAAUAUGCUAAUUUUACUAGCCAAUUUCCCUAGCUCCUCCUUUCAAACAGGUUUCAAUAAUCAGUGUACAGUCAGUUUGAUGCAACAACAUCCAAUUGAAGAUGGCACUUCCUUAUCCGCUGCAAAUAGACCCUAAAUGACUGCACUUGGCUUCUGCUCUCUGAUAAUCCUGAACUUGAUGCCCUUGAGUCCACGUUAACAAGUUUUAACAGGAAUCGCAGUUCAUUCAGGAGAUUCGUUCGUCUGGCUGGCAUGCACAACAAGCCAGUUCUGGUCACCGGCUCCUCGGACUUGGAGAGGAGCUAGAGGUGCACCUUGUUAUGCCAUCACUCAAGAGCAACAGGUUUCUGAUGUCCAGUGCUUUCAGUGUGUCUCAGAUGGCAGAUAUUCAACAUGUGUCCUGAUCAACACUCAAACGUCGUCUAAGUUCAGUUGUUCUUGGGCGUAAUGCUAUAAACUACAGACUUUAUAUGCAUGGUUUCCAGUUUCAUACCAAUCAAACAAUUUAGAAUGACUAUAAUCAAGACGGGACUUUAAAAUGACUAUGAUGAUAUACAUUACCUCAUCUCUGUCCAUUGUUACAAAUUUCCCAGACACUUCAAUCUGUCACAUGCACCAUUAUAUUCUGACAUGUCAGACUUGGCUCUGGAUGUAAAGAUGAAGGACUUGGUGGCUGGGAACGACGACCUUGGACCGGAGGCUGUUCGAGCACUCACGUUUUUGAAAUGUGUAAGCCUUUAAAUGACCUUUUACAGACUACUUCUACAAACGAGGCUACACUUGUGGCAGCACCUAUUCCUGUGGCCCCCCCAUCUUCUGCACCACUUCCUGUGGCCUCCCCUCCACCAUUCCCUGAGGCUUAUCGUCCACCUUCACCACACUCUUCUGUUGAUGUUGGUGAUGACAAUGAUGUUGACCUCCAAACACUGCUGAAGUUAAUGAGAUGCCAACCAAAUGAACGUGGGAUGCUGACGGUAAAGGGGCAGCUGAUGAGGGUGGUCCCUCAUGAGAAUUUCCCCAGCUGCUAAUGAGUGCCAUCCAUUCCUCUGCAAUAUUUGAGGGACCUGAUUGACAAAAAUGCCUUUCUUGCAACUCUCAAGCACUCUAUGAUGGCGUAUACAAGCAGGUGGGCCGCAUGAUUGCUGUCUGUCUGGUACAUGGGGGUGUAGAGACACCAUUUUUUCAGAGAGGCUAUACAGGCAAGUGUGUGGCCUAAAACCUCCUGUGCCAGAACUGAAAGAAAUUGCGGAAUAUGACUUCAGAGAGAAGUUGGAGAAGUUCAAUAAACAAUCUAAGAUCCAGUUAGCACAAACUGUUGACGAGGCACAGGAAGUGGUCAUGUUGGGUCCAGUGCGAUACAUUCGUACAUUGGAGUGGGAUGCCCUGGUGGAGUCAGCCACAAAGUUCUACUUAGAAAGCAGGAUACGGGAUGCUCUUGAGUAGUGAGUUUCCAUAUAUCUAAGGAAUCUCAAGUUUAGUUCAAUUCUUCAGGGCAAAUUCAUACUUUUUUAAAACUUUAUAGAUUCAAAGAGGGUCUGGAGUGUCUAGGUCUCCUGCCUUACAUGAAUAGACACUCAAGCCUCUUCAGAGGUUUUCAUCUACGCUGAGAAACCUCAUUUGGCCAAAGACAUAGCUUCUCUCUUCAAAGCAGAGCGCUCCCCACCUGGUACCAAUUAAAGAGCAAUAGAGAAGAGUUCUAUGUUUCUGGAGCGACUGGCUGCUGGAGGUGGAAGGUUAGAUGCAAAACCAUGAUCAUUGAAGUAACACGGCCCACAUCAGUAAAACAUCACCUAAUCACUCUCACAACUGUGGGAAAGCAUUUUGUAACCUUAUUCUUCCAUGGGCCCCCUAAGAAUGUAAUAGAUAAGUGAAAGUAGUUUGGAUUUAAUUUAAGAGUAUUGUGUUCUCCAACAAGUGUUACUUAUGCACUUUAAUGUCCCCCCCUUUCCUUUUUUCAGGGGGGAACACAUACUCUUUAACCAUGGAGAAGGUUUUCGUUUUCACUUCAGGGGCUUCAGCAUUCCUAGGCUGGGAUUGCCAGUGGAGCCACAACUACAGUUCUCUGCAACCGCACAGCAAGCGGUACCGGAGCGCCAAGUCUAGGUCCAAGAGGCUUCUAAACAGCUUCUACCCCCAAGCCAUAAGACUACUGAACAUCUAAUCAAAUGGCUACCCAGACUAUUUUCUGCUACUCUAUCUAUGCAUAGUCACUUUAAUAUCUCUACCUAUAUGUAUAUAUGACUAACCAGUGCCCCCGCACAUUCUCUGUACCUGUACUCCCCCUGUAUAUAGCUUCACUAUUGUUAUUUUCCUGAUGCUCUUUAAUUAUUUACUUUUUUUUUUUUUUUGUAGCUGCAUUGUUGUUUAAGGGCUUGUAAGUAAGCAUUUCACUGUAAGGUCUACACCUGUUGUAUUUGGUGCAUGUGACAAAGACAAUUUGAUUUGAUUUAAAGAAUUCAUUUAAGGGGAAUUAUCCAAAACGUUUAUUGCAUGACCACCUAGUAAAUUCGGAAUACUGCAGCCAAUGUUAAUUGAUGUGCUAGCUAGCUGACUUCUGUGGCUAGCUACCAUAGGUGAGAACGGGGGUUGAAAAUGCUUCGAGGGAAUCCAAAAGUGAAGGUGGAGGUAGGGGACGAUUAUGGCCAAGGAGGUGCGUGUGCAUGGACGUCGGAGGAUCUGGCUGAGGAGAUCGCCAGGACGUCGGAGCCCAGAGGCCGCUUGAGGGAGGACGUUAGAGUGAUGGUUGCUGAAGCGGGCAUGAGUGCUUCAUUGACUGUGCUUCGCGCGGAUUCUGGUGGGCGGACCGAAGGGGUGACGUCGACGAGGAAUCUGGGGCUCAGGAUGUAAACAAACAUGGCGGCGCCCAGCUCCCGGCUGUGUCCGUAUCUGUUAAGACCCCGACGUAUUCCGGUAAGGCGGAUUGGGAAGCUUUUCAUGCUCAGUUUGAACUGUUAGCUCAUUUUAGGGGAUGAUCACGGAUGAUGCUCUGGCCUGUUUGAUAUUGAUUAGCCCCGAGGACAGACGUGAUUAUGGUGCUUCAGUGGGAGCACUGAGGAGGCGCUAUGGACUGUAUGUACAGCCCGGCUGCUGCGCUCCGAACUGAGUAAUAGACGCAGGCAGCCUGGAGAGCCUCUACGGGUGCUAGCUAAUGACAUUAAGAGCCUCUCUCGGCCGGCAUAUGCUCACAUGCCCCCCUCCGUGCAGAGCGAGCUAGCACGGGACCAGUUCAUACAGGCGCUCUCCUACGGAGCUGCGCAUACAGACCCAGCUGGCUCAUCCUGAGUCAUUGCCGAUAGCUUUGGAGAGGGAGCUGGUGUGGGCUGGGGCUUUGGUGGGGGUGCAGGGAGACAGACCCUCUGUGCGGGCUGGGGGGCAGAGCAGCCCAGACCUGGAAAAGCCUGCAUGGGUGGCUGAAAUGACAGAACUCAUAGCGUGCUGUGUCGCUACCCUAGUCCCAGGGUCUGCUGGGGUUGUUGCCAGCCAGGCCAUCUGCGCAGGGGUUGCCCCUUGUCCCCCAGAGCUCAGGGAAACGGCUCGGGGUCCGCAUAGACCGGGUAGUGUGGACCCCUGGCUUUCUUUCCCAACCACCAUCUUCUUCAGGAGGAGCCCACCGGCCCAGACGGGGAAGCAAGGCUCCACUUCCCCCAGAAGCAGACGAGGGCAAGCGGAUGGAGCCUGUCGUUGUGAUGGGCCGGACCUGUGUUGGAGACUUUUGUCAUGUCCCUGUCACUGUGGAGGGUGUUCCCUGCUCUGCCCUGGUUGACACUGGGUCCACAGUAACCCUGGUGAGGCCGGAUAUUGUGCCAGGUUGGACUCAGUGUGAACCCACAACUGUGCAGCUCCGCACAGUCACAGGUGAGCUGGCACCCAUGAAAGGGAAGGGAAUAAUGACUCUGACAGUAGGGGGCAGGUCUGUGCGUCAUCCUGUGUGGGUGGCGGCUGUGCAGGACCCUUGCAUCCUGGGGUUGGACUUUCUUAGGCGCACAGGCUGGCAGUUAGACCUAAAUGGGGGAACACAGAGCUUCCAGGGAGGGCCGGCAGUCACCAUGGCCCCCCUAAUGUCACAUUCACUCAACCCAACAAACCCUUUACUCCAACAGUUAAAGCAGCAGAGACUCAUGGCUGCCCCCCCUCCCCCCACAUCUGUGUGACUUUUCCCCAGGCCCCCUGUCACCUACGGCUGUGCGUUACAUUCCCUCGGCUACCUCCACGACACAUCCCUCCGUGGCAGUUGCUGUUUGAAUUCAGAGACGGCUUUGCGCUGAGUGAGGAAGAGGUGGGUCAGACUCAUCUGGUGCAGCAUGAGAUCGACACAGGUGAUGCUUGACCCAUCAAGAUGCGUCCCCGCCGUAUCCCGCUGGCACGCCAGGAGGCGGCAGACAAGGCUGUGUUGAAAGGAGGGAGUAGUGUAACGACCCUGGGUUUAUAAGCGUGGAAAUCGACUCUGCCGCUCGAGCAUGCUUUUGCGGCACAGUCGAUAGCGCGCUGGACUUCGGGCUAGAAGGUCGAGGGUUCGAGACCUGCUGUUUCAUUACAUUGGUGUCAGAAGUGAUCGAACCUUGCAUCCACGACAGUGCGUGUGCUUGGCUGGUGAGCACGUUUCAAGACCUCCCUGCCUGUUUCAUUACAGUAUAUUUAGCAGCUGUAGGCGUUAACUUGACGUGUGCAGGACCGCUUGCAGCUGUUUAUUUAGCACAUGUUGAAAAAACGACUUUAUAUCGGUGUUAUAUGCAUGUUCACACGCGUAUCUGCCGUCUCAUUGACUAGAAUGGUCCCACUUCAACAGCUGAGGGAUAUACUGAUCGCCAAGGUGGAUUUCGUGGCAUUUUAUUGUGCAAGUGAUUAAUUGUACUGGCCAAAUGAGUCCAAGAAACUGGCCGUCGUAUCUGCGGGUGAAAGGUUCUUGGGUAUCCACGAUUUCACGGCUGAAACGUAAGGAAUACUGUCUGAAUAUGUUAUUCUUUCUCAGGCACCAGAGAGCCUGUAGCAAUCAGUUGUUUCAUUGUCAUUUGUUUAUUAUUUGGGAAGAAUGUGAUUUCUCUCCCCCUUUUUCUCUUAUUGUUUUAUUUGAUCUCGUAUACUACCCUGUACAGUGGGUGGCGGCAUGCACCUCUAACAUGUUUGCGUACCGCUAUAAUACCAUAGAAGAGUUGUCCCAACUGAUCGGUCAUGGCUAAAAGUUAAAUUAACGUCAAAAGUAGUUCAUUUUGCAUUUUAGCUAACUUUAACCUAAUUAUUCUAACCUGCUCCAGAAAGUAAAAUAUGACAAAACCCACCUGGUCUCUUCCUCGGGCCUGCCUUCCUUCUUUGAAGACAGAAAAACAGGAGAACUGUGCAAUGUCUGGAUAUGGAACGUCGGAAUCUACACCGAGAGAUUUGCCGACUAUCCUCAGGUGUUGUGAAGAGAAGGUUUGACUGGACGUUGUUACUGGGAGGCUGAGUGCGGUGGGAAAUCGUUUAAUGCAGGUGUGGCAUAUGAAGACAUGAGCAGGGUUGGAAAAGAGCUCAACUGUUUAUUUUGUUACAAUGACAAAUCCUGGAGCCUGAGACGCCUCAAACGUCGUUUCCUCAAACGCUGACAAAGUUGGGGUGUAGCUGAACUCCUCAAGGCAUUCUGUCCUAACAAGUCUACGACACACCUGCAUUUCACUCAACCUUCACUGAACCACUCUAUGCAAUACUGUCAGUCAGUGACUAUUCAUCAGUGUCUCCGUGCUUGGUCUCAAAUGAGGAGAAAAGGAGGAUGGCAGAUGGUUAAGAUAAUAUCCUGUUCGAGGGAGAGAUCAGUUGACUGAGAAAAUACAUUUGAAAAAAUUCACAAUAUUUUCCAUAAUGAUUUGAACAUUUCAAUGUUCUGAAUGACCUCCAUUCUUAACGUGUUUAUAUCGGAGGUCUUACUGUACACCUCAAACUAUUCAGAUUAACAGUAUACACCAUUCCAUGGUCUUAGUAAAAAAAAUGUUUUAAUAUUUUUAGAUGUGAUGCAUUUUUAUCUAAUAAAGUAAUUAACAUUUCUCAAGCACUUGACCCCAAACUCUGGUCUUCUUACCCCAAACCACCACACCUCUAACCCAGCAAGUAUGGGGAUAGUGAGAGAGAGCACACAGAGAUAGAGAAGCUGACAUAUGAAGUCAGCCAUGCUUGACUUGCACCGCACCAUCUGUCUCCCUCCAAAUUUUAAUGAGACACCAGGAAGGGGGGAGACUAGAGAAGAGGCUGGAUCCAUUCAAACAGACAUCUUGUUAGACUACAGCGCUUCUCCAAGGUAAUGGUCUGCUGGGUAUUUUUGCUGUAUAGUGGAUAGAUAGAAGUAGACUAACUUCAUGUUGCUGCUGUGUGUUGGAAGAAGGGAGGGGGUAUGGUGUGAGGUGCUUGUGUCUCGGCUUAACCUUCUCUAUUU